This 178-nucleotide non-coding RNA is filed under the name Paenibacillus senegalensis. RNAcentral describes it as "6S / SsrS RNA". It matches the Rfam family "6S / SsrS RNA". From Rfam's summary of the family: E. coli 6S RNA was the first non coding RNA to be sequenced, but its function was unknown until recently. The record is from RNAcentral. Lineage: Bacteria; Bacillati; Bacillota; Bacilli; Caryophanales; Paenibacillaceae.
AUCCUGCGAUGUGCGUUACGGUUUUACGUUGUUUUGAACCAAUGUAUGUUUCCAGGGAGUUCUAAAUCAUAUCACGGCUGACCCGCCCUCCAAAGGGGACUUCAAAAGUGAUAUUGCGGACACCCACCUGCUGAUGCGGGUUUCGAAACAAGAUAAUCGGACGGCAUUUGCGGGGUUU